Molecule: ribosomal RNA, 477 nt
Filed under: uncultured bacterium
Lineage: Bacteria
Description: partial 16S ribosomal RNA
Rfam family: Bacterial small subunit ribosomal RNA
Source: RNAcentral
GAUGAACGCUGGCGGCGUGCUUAACACAUGCAAGUCGAACGAGAAGUGGAGACGGAACCCUUCGGGCGGAAGACUUUACUUCGAGUGGCGGACGGGUGGGUAACGCGUGGGUAACCUGCCUCAUACAGGGGGAUAACAGUUGGAAACGACUGUUAAUACCGCAUAAGACCACAGCACCGCAUGGUGCGGGGGUAAAAACUCCGGUGGUAUGAGAUGGACCCGCGUUCGAUUAGCCAGUUGGCGGGGUAACGGCCCACCAAAGCGACGAUCGAAAGCCGAUCUGAGAGGAUGACCGGCCACAUUGGAACUGAGACACGGCCCAAACUCCUACGGAGGCAGCAGUGGGGAAUAUUGCACAAUGGGGGAAACCCUGAUGCAGCGACGCCGCGUGAGUGAAGAAGUAUUUCGGUAUGUAAAGCUCUAUCAGCAGGGAAGAAAAUGACAGUACCUGAGGAAGAAGCCCCGGCUAACUACGUG